Molecule: unclassified non-coding RNA, 314 nt
Filed under: plant metagenome
Description: partial contains 5.8S ribosomal RNA, internal transcribed spacer 2, and large subunit ribosomal RNA
Rfam family: 5.8S ribosomal RNA (bases 1-105)
Source: RNAcentral
GAAAUGCGAUAAUUAAUGUGAAUUGCAGAAUUCAGUGAAUCAUCGAGUCUUUGAACGCACAUUGCGCCCCCUGGUAUUCCGGGGGGCAUGCCUGUCCGAGCGUCAUUGCUGCCCUCAAGCACGGCUUGUGUGUUGGGCUUCCGUCCCUGGCAACGGGGACGGGCCCAAAAGGCAGUGGCGGCACCAUGUCUGGUCCUCGAGCGUAUGGGGCUUUGUAACCCGCUCCCGUAGGUCCAGCUGGCAGCUAGCCUCGCAACCAAUCUUUUUAACCAGGUUGACCUCGGAUCAGGUAGGGAUACCCGCUGAACUUAAGC